This 117-nucleotide ribozyme is filed under the name Aedes aegypti (yellow fever mosquito). Its description in RNAcentral is "drz-agam-1 ribozyme". It matches the Rfam family "drz-agam-1 ribozyme". Lineage: Eukaryota; Metazoa; Arthropoda; Insecta; Diptera; Culicidae. The record is from Rfam by way of RNAcentral.
UGCCCAGCAACUCCUAUCCCUACCUCCUCGCGGUACUGGCCGGGGUACGAGUAACCUUAGGGAAGAUCGGGUAACCAACCCCCGGUGGGAACUUUGUUCGUAUGCUGACAGGGAAGG